Molecule: long non-coding RNA, 203 nt
Filed under: Trifolium pratense (red clover)
Lineage: Eukaryota; Viridiplantae; Streptophyta; Magnoliopsida; Fabales; Fabaceae
Description: long non-coding RNA (TPRA_LNC003769)
Source: RNAcentral
UCAAAUCAAAGAAAGGUAGACGUGUUCGACACUUGAUUUGGUUAAGUACUAAUUGGAGUAUUUGGAGAUUGAGAAAUAAUAUUAUUUUUCGAGGGGCGGUGGCGAAUGUGUCCGAGUUGGUUGACAAUAUCAUGGCGAUCUCGUGGUUUUGGUUUAGUGGUCGGGCCGGUAUUAAGUCUGUUUAUUCUUAUUCCGAUUGGUGC